UAUGAGCCACACCUACCUAAAUUGAAAUGGAACUUAUGGAAGCUAUGAUUUUACCUAGGAUUUUACAGUUUUUACUGGAGAUUUUACUUUAAUUUUCUCUGUCUCUAUCUCUAUCUCUCUCUUUCUUUUACUCUUGUUUAGGAUUAAAGUCCCGGUACCUGUACAUUACUGUACAGUUGGAUCAAGAGGAGGUGUAUAGGACACCAAUAAUGAUAGAGCCUGGAGCUAGGACAUUGAUAACACUGAGUUUAACGAGAGCUUUGCUGAUAAACAUUGAAUUAUGAAAUGUACAUCAAAAAGUGUUGAUAGAAAAUGUGUUUCAUUUACCCGACACAUUCCCAGAGACUCAAAGUAUCUUGAGGUACGUUAUUCUGCUCGUCAUCCUGCCCCUCCCCCACCUCCUCUGGUCUCUUGUACAGCUGUGUGUUUGGUACCAAUACAACAAGGUUAGGACACACAGUCAGUGUAUGUACAUGUACAUGU
Long non-coding RNA from Amphimedon queenslandica, 483 nucleotides. RefSeq lists it as uncharacterized. The transcript has 3 exons. The record is from RefSeq and is a predicted model, not a curated record. Lineage: Eukaryota; Metazoa; Porifera; Demospongiae; Haplosclerida; Niphatidae.